This 497-nucleotide ribosomal RNA is filed under the name uncultured bacterium. Its description in RNAcentral is "partial 16S ribosomal RNA". It matches the Rfam family "Bacterial small subunit ribosomal RNA", at positions 899 to 1397 of the family's 1533-position model. The record is from RNAcentral.
ACUCAAAGGAAUUGACGGGGGCCCGCACAAGCGGUGGAGCAUGUGGAUUAAUUCGUCACUAACCGAAGAACCUUACCCAGAUUUGACAUCGCGUGAAAAGCUGUGAAAGCAGUUCCCCUCGCAAGAGGCACAAAGACAGGUGUUGCAUGGCUGUCGUCAGCUCGUGUCGUGAGAUGUUGGGUUAAGUCCCGCAACGAGCGCAACCCCCACCGUAUGUUGGCAGCGUUAAGUCGGCCACUCUUACGGAACUGCCUAUGCAAGUAGGAGGAAGGUGGGGACGACGUCAAGUCGGCAUGGCCCUUACAUCUGGGGCUUCACACAUGCUACAAUGGGCAGCACAAAGCGUACCGAAACCGUGAGGUUGUGGCAAUCGCAAAAAUCUGUCCUCAGUUCGGAUUGUAGGCUGCAACUCGCCUACAUGAAGCUGGAAUCGCUAGUAACCGCAGGUCAGCGAAACUGCGGUGAAUACGUUCCCGGGCCUUGCACACACCGCCCGU